This 1554-nucleotide ribosomal RNA is filed under the name Klebsiella pneumoniae. RNAcentral's name for it is "bacterial SSU rRNA". It matches the Rfam family "Bacterial small subunit ribosomal RNA". Lineage: Bacteria; Pseudomonadati; Pseudomonadota; Gammaproteobacteria; Enterobacterales; Enterobacteriaceae. The record is from RNAcentral.
ACUUAAAUUGAAGAGUUUGAUCAUGGCUCAGAUUGAACGCUGGCGGCAGGCCUAACACAUGCAAGUCGAGCGGUAGCACAGAGAGCUUGCUCUCGGGUGACGAGCGGCGGACGGGUGAGUAAUGUCUGGGAAACUGCCUGAUGGAGGGGGAUAACUACUGGAAACGGUAGCUAAUACCGCAUAACGUCGCAAGACCAAAGUGGGGGACCUUCGGGCCUCAUGCCAUCAGAUGUGCCCAGAUGGGAUUAGCUAGUAGGUGGGGUAAUGGCUCACCUAGGCGACGAUCCCUAGCUGGUCUGAGAGGAUGACCAGCCACACUGGAACUGAGACACGGUCCAGACUCCUACGGGAGGCAGCAGUGGGGAAUAUUGCACAAUGGGCGCAAGCCUGAUGCAGCCAUGCCGCGUGUGUGAAGAAGGCCUUCGGGUUGUAAAGCACUUUCAGCGGGGAGGAAGGCGAUAAGGUUAAUAACCUUGUCGAUUGACGUUACCCGCAGAAGAAGCACCGGCUAACUCCGUGCCAGCAGCCGCGGUAAUACGGAGGGUGCAAGCGUUAAUCGGAAUUACUGGGCGUAAAGCGCACGCAGGCGGUCUGUCAAGUCGGAUGUGAAAUCCCCGGGCUCAACCUGGGAACUGCAUUCGAAACUGGCAGGCUAGAGUCUUGUAGAGGGGGGUAGAAUUCCAGGUGUAGCGGUGAAAUGCGUAGAGAUCUGGAGGAAUACCGGUGGCGAAGGCGGCCCCCUGGACAAAGACUGACGCUCAGGUGCGAAAGCGUGGGGAGCAAACAGGAUUAGAUACCCUGGUAGUCCACGCCGUAAACGAUGUCGAUUUGGAGGUUGUGCCCUUGAGGCGUGGCUUCCGGAGCUAACGCGUUAAAUCGACCGCCUGGGGAGUACGGCCGCAAGGUUAAAACUCAAAUGAAUUGACGGGGGCCCGCACAAGCGGUGGAGCAUGUGGUUUAAUUCGAUGCAACGCGAAGAACCUUACCUGGUCUUGACAUCCACAGAACUUUCCAGAGAUGGAUUGGUGCCUUCGGGAACUGUGAGACAGGUGCUGCAUGGCUGUCGUCAGCUCGUGUUGUGAAAUGUUGGGUUAAGUCCCGCAACGAGCGCAACCCUUAUCCUUUGUUGCCAGCGGUUCGGCCGGGAACUCAAAGGAGACUGCCAGUGAUAAACUGGAGGAAGGUGGGGAUGACGUCAAGUCAUCAUGGCCCUUACGACCAGGGCUACACACGUGCUACAAUGGCAUAUACAAAGAGAAGCGACCUCGCGAGAGCAAGCGGACCUCAUAAAGUAUGUCGUAGUCCGGAUUGGAGUCUGCAACUCGACUCCAUGAAGUCGGAAUCGCUAGUAAUCGUAGAUCAGAAUGCUACGGUGAAUACGUUCCCGGGCCUUGUACACACCGCCCGUCACACCAUGGGAGUGGGUUGCAAAAGAAGUAGGUAGCUUAACCUUCGGGAGGGCGCUUACCACUUUGUGAUUCAUGACUGGGGUGAAGUCGUAACAAGGUAACCGUAGGGGAACCUGCGGUUGGAUCACCUCCUUACCUUAAAGAA